UACGAGGGGAGCUAGCGUUGUUCGGAAUUACUGGGCGUAAAGGGCGUGUAGGCGGUAUCAUAAGUCAGAUGUGAAAGCCCUAGGCUUAACCUAGGAGGUGCAUUUGAUACUGUGAAACUAGAGAUCGAGAGAGGAAAGUGGAAUUACGAGUGUAGAGGUGAAAUUCGUAGAUAUUCGUAAGAACACCAGUGGCGAAGGCGACUUUCUGGCUCGAUACUGACGCUAAGGCGCGAAAGCGUGGGGAGCAAACAGG
Molecule: ribosomal RNA, 253 nt
Filed under: Alphaproteobacteria bacterium
Lineage: Bacteria; Pseudomonadati; Pseudomonadota; Alphaproteobacteria
Also listed under: 1 other name
Description: partial 16S ribosomal RNA
Rfam family: Bacterial small subunit ribosomal RNA
Source: RNAcentral